CGUGUGUGAAGAAGGCUUUCGGGUUGUAAAGCACUUUCAGUGGGGAAGAAGGCCUGUCGGUUAAUACCCGGCAGGGACGACAUCACCCACAGAAGAAGCACCGGCUAACUCCGUGCCAGCAGCCGCGGUAAUACGGAGGGUGCGAGCGUUAAUCGGAAUUACUGGGCGUAAAGCGCGCGUAGGCGGCGUGAUAAGCCGGUUGUGAAAGCCCCGGGCUCAACCUGGGAACGGCAUCCGGAACUGUCGCGCUAGAGUGCAGGAGAGGAAGGUAGAAUUCCCGGUGUAGCGGUGAAAUGCGUAGAGAUCGGGAGGAAUACCAGUGGCGAAGGCGGCCUUCUGGACUGACACUGACGCUGAGGUGCGAAAGCGUGGGUAGCAAACAGGAUUAGAUACCCUGGUAGUCCACGCCGUAAACGAUGUCGACUAGCCGUUGGGCGCCUCGAGUGCUUAGUGGCGAAGUUAACGCGAUAAGUCGACCGCCUGGG
Molecule: ribosomal RNA, 485 nt
Filed under: uncultured Halomonas sp.
Lineage: Bacteria; Pseudomonadati; Pseudomonadota; Gammaproteobacteria; Oceanospirillales; Halomonadaceae
Description: bacterial SSU rRNA
Rfam family: Bacterial small subunit ribosomal RNA
Source: RNAcentral